UGGGGAAUAUUGCACAAUGGGCGCAAGCCUGAUGCAGCCAUGCCGCGUGUGUGAAGAAGGCCUUCGGGUUGUAAAGCACUUUCAGCGAGGAGGAAGGUGGUGAGCUUAAUACGCUCAUCAAUUGACGUUACUCGCAGAAGAAGCACCGGCUAACUCCGUGCCAGCAGCCGCGGUAAUACGGAGGGUGCAAGCGUUAAUCGGAAUUACUGGGCGUAAAGCGCACGCAGGCGGUUUGUUAAGUCAGAUGUGAAAUCCCCGGGCUCAACCUGGGAACUGCAUUUGAAACUGGCAAGCUAGAGUCUCGUAGAGGGGGGUAGAAUUCCAGGUGUAGCGGUGAAAUGCGUAGAGAUCUGGAGGAAUACCGGUGGCGAAGGCGGCCCCCUGGACGAAGACUGACGCUCAGGUGCGAAAGCGUGGGGCAGCAAACAGGAUUAGAUACCCUGGUAGUCCACGCUGUAAACGAUGUCGAUUUGGAGGUUGUGCCCUUGAGGCGUGGCUUCCGGAGCUAACGCGUUAAAUCGACCGCCUGGGGAGUACGGCCGCAAGGUUAAAACUCAAAUGAAUUGACGGGGUC
Molecule: ribosomal RNA, 574 nt
Filed under: uncultured bacterium
Lineage: Bacteria
Description: partial 16S ribosomal RNA
Rfam family: Bacterial small subunit ribosomal RNA
Source: RNAcentral